This 364-nucleotide transfer-messenger RNA is filed under the name Burkholderiales. RNAcentral describes it as "CC-YST705 sp020539505 Standard tmRNA". It matches the Rfam family "transfer-messenger RNA". Rfam says of the family: Bacterial tmRNA, also known as 10Sa RNA or SsrA, is named for its dual tRNA and mRNA-like properties. Lineage: Bacteria; Pseudomonadati; Pseudomonadota; Betaproteobacteria. RNAcentral also lists the same sequence under 1 other name. The record is from RNAcentral.
GGGGUCGAUCUGGCUUCGACGUGGGUCACGAAACAGAGUAGUGCAUGCCGAGCACCAGUUCGCUCGUAAAUCCACUGGAAAACUACAAACGCCAACGACGAGCGUUUCGCUCUAGCCGCUUAAGCGGUGAGCCGCUGCACUGAUUUGUCUUUGGGUCAGGUAGGGCAACCUACAGCAGCGUCAUUUUCAAAGAAUCGGGUCUGAUCGGGUCACUAGUUCAAACCCUAAAUUAAAAGUGAAUCGCCAAGGAAGGGCCUGUCGGUUGGCAUGAUCCAAGGUUAAAACUCAAAAUGAACUGACUAAGCAUGUAGGGCUGCCUGCAGAGGGCUUGCGGACGGGGGUUCAAUUCCCCCCGACUCCACCA